Anas platyrhynchos (mallard) is the source of this 248-nucleotide non-coding RNA. The record is from RefSeq and is a predicted model, not a curated record. NCBI's taxonomy places the organism in Eukaryota, Metazoa, Chordata, Aves, Anseriformes, Anatidae.
GGGGAGGGGGCUGACGGGGACCCCCCCCCGCAGACCCCCGGGACGAGGCGCUGCCGCCGGAGCUGUGCGGGGUGCUGAGCGGCUGCGAGCAUGGGCACUGCGUGCGGGUGCCCCAGGGCUUCACCUGCGCCUGCGACCCCGGCUACCGGCUGGACGCGGCACGCGUGGCCUGCGUGGACCUCGACGAGUGCUCGGAGGCCGCCCUGUGCCGGGGGGGGCGCUGCCUCAACACCCCCGGCUCCUUCCGC